CCUACGGGUGGCAGCAGUGAGGAAUAUUGGUCAAUGGCCUAGAGGCUGAACCAGCCAAGUCGCGUGAGGGAAGACGGCCCUACGGGUUGUAAACCUCUUUUGUCGGGGAGCAAAGCGAGCCACGUGUGACUCAUUGAGAGUACCCGAAGAAAAAGCAUCGGCUAACUCCGUGCCAGCAGCCGCGGUAAUACGGAGGAUGCGAGCGUUAUCCGGAUUUAUUGGGUUUAAAGGGUGCGCAGGCGGAGGUGCAAGUCAGCGGUAAAAUUGCGGGGCUCAACCCCGUACUGCCGUUGAAACUGCAUCCCUUGAGUGCGCGAGAAGUAUGCGGAAUGCGUGGUGUAGCGGUGAAAUGCAUAGAGAUCACGCAGAACUCCGAUUGCGAAGGCAGCAUACCGGCGCGCAACUGACGCUCAUGCACGAAAGCGUGGGUAUCGAACAGGAUUAGAUACCCUAGUAGUC
Molecule: ribosomal RNA, 459 nt
Filed under: uncultured bacterium
Lineage: Bacteria
Description: partial 16S ribosomal RNA
Rfam family: Bacterial small subunit ribosomal RNA
Source: RNAcentral